Molecule: ribosomal RNA, 771 nt
Filed under: uncultured bacterium
Lineage: Bacteria
Description: bacterial SSU rRNA
Rfam family: Bacterial small subunit ribosomal RNA
Source: RNAcentral
GAACGGGUGAGUAACACGUGGGCAACCUGCCCAAAAGAGGGGGAUAACACUUGGAAACAGGUGCUAAUACCGCAUAACCAUAGUUACCGCAUGGUAACUAUGUAAAAGGUGGCUAUGCUACCGCUUUUGGAUGGGCCCGCGGCGCAUUAGCUAGUUGGUGGGGUAAAGGCUUACCAAGGCAAUGAUGCGUAGCCGAACUGAGAGGUUGAUCGGCCACAUUGGGACUGAGACACGGCCCAAACUCCUACGGGAGGCAGCAGUAGGGAAUCUUCCACAAUGGGCGAAAGCCUGAUGGAGCAACGCCGCGUGGGUGAAGAAGGUCUUCGGAUCGUAAAACCCUGUUGUUAGAGAAGAAAGUGCGUGAGAGUAACUGUUCACGUUUCGACGGUAUCUAACCAGAAAGCCACGGCUAACUACGUGCCAGCAGCCGCGGUAAUACGUAGGUGGCAAGCGUUAUCCGGAUUUAUUGGGCGUAAAGGGAACGCAGGCGGUCUUUUAAGUCUGAUGUGAAAGCCUUCGGCUUAACCGGAGUAGUGCAUUGGAAACUGGGAGACUUGAGUGCAGAAGAGGAGAGUGGAACUCCAUGUGUAGCGGUGAAAUGCGCAGAUAUAUGGAAGAACACCAGUGGCGAAAGCGGCUCUCUGGUCUGUAACUGACGCUGAGGUUCGAAAGCGUGGGUAGCAAACAGGAUUAGAUACCCUGGUAGUCCACGCCGUAAACGAUGAAUGCUAAGUGUUGGAGGGUUUCCGCCCUUCAGUGCUGCAGCUAACG